RNAcentral lists this small RNA (573 nucleotides) under uncultured fungus. RNAcentral describes it as "eukaryotic LSU rRNA". The stretch from base 217 to 372 matches the Rfam family "5.8S ribosomal RNA". Lineage: Eukaryota; Fungi. The record is from RNAcentral.
UGCGGAAGGAUCAUUACCGAAUUGUCAACAAGAGUUGUUGCUGGUCCUCAAACGGGGGCAUGUGCACGCUCUGUUAACACAUCCACUCACACCCUGUGCACCCUCUGUAGUUCUGUGGUUGGGGGACCUGUCCUCCUGCUGUGGUUCUGCAUCUUUACACACACACACUGUAACAAAGUCUCAUGGAAUGCAUCUGCGUUUAACGCAAUACAAUACAACUUUCAGCAACGGAUCUCUUGGCUCUCGCAUCGAUGAAGAACCGCAGCGAAAUGCGAUAAGUAAUGUGAAUWGCAGAAUUCAGUGAAUCAUCGAAUCUUUGAACGCACCUUGCGCCCUUUGGCCAUUCCGAAGGGCAUGCCUGUUUGAGUAUCAUGAACACCUCAACUCUUCAUGGUUUUCUGUGAUGAGCUUGGACUUUGGGGGUUUUGCUGGCCUAUGGUCGGCUCCUCUAAAAUGAAUCAGCUUGCCAGUGUUUGGUGGGCAUCACAGGUGUGAUAACUAUCUACGCUUGUGGUUUUCCCACCAGGUAACCUUCAGAAGGUUCGCUGGAGCUCACAGAUGUCUCUCCUCAGG